RNAcentral lists this ribosomal RNA (455 nucleotides) under uncultured Fusobacterium sp. RNAcentral describes it as "bacterial SSU rRNA". It matches the Rfam family "Bacterial small subunit ribosomal RNA", at positions 28 to 508 of the family's 1533-position model. The record is from RNAcentral. Lineage: Bacteria; Fusobacteriati; Fusobacteriota; Fusobacteriia; Fusobacteriales; Fusobacteriaceae.
GAUGAACGCUGACAGAAUGCUUAACACAUGCAAGUCUACUUGAACUUCGGUUUGGGUGGCGGACGGGUGAGUAACGCGUAAAGAACUUGCCUCACAGUUAGGGACAACAUUUGAAAACGAAUGCUAAUACCUGAUAUUAUGAUUUUAGGGCAUCCUAAGAUUAUGAAAGCUAUAUGCGCUGUGAGAGAGCUUUGCGUCCCAUUAGCUAGUUGGAGAGGUAACGGCUCACCAAGGCGAUGAUGGGUAGCCGGCCUGAGAGGGUGAACGGCCACAAGGGGACUGAGACACGGCCCUUACUCCUACGGGAGGCAGCAGUGGGGAAUAUUGGACAAUGGACCAAAAGUCUGAUCCAGCAAUUCUGUGUGCACGAUGACGUUUUUCGGAAUGUAAAGUGCUUUCAGUUGGGAAGAAAAAAAUGACAGUACCAACAGAAGAAGUGACGGCUAAAUACGUGC